UUAGAGUUUGAUCCUGGCUCAGGACGAACACUGGCGGCGUGCUUAACACAUGCAAGUCGAACGGAAAGGCCCUGCUUUUGUGGGGUGCUCGAGUGGCGAACGGGUGAGUAACACGUGAGUWACCUGCCCUUGACUUUGGGAUAACUUCAGGAAACUGGGGCUAAUACCGGAUAGGAGCUCCUGCUGCAUGGUGGGGGUUGGAAAGUUUCGGCGGUUGGGGAUGGACUCGCGGCUUAUCAGCUUGUUGGUGGGGUAGUGGCUUACCAAGGCUUUGACGGGUAGCCGGCCUGAGAGGGUGACCGGCCACAUUGGGACUGAGAUACGGCCCAGACUCCUACGGGAGGCAGCAGUGGGGAAUAUUGCACAAUGGGCGGAAGCUGAUGCAGCAACGCCGCGUGCGGGAUGACGGCCUUCGGGUUGUAAACCGCUUUCGCCUGUKACGAAGCGUGAGUUACGGUAAUGGGUAAAGAAGCACCGGCUAACUACGUGCCAGCAGCCGCGGUGAUACGUAGGGUGCGAGCGUUGUCCGGAUUUAUUGGGCGUAAAGGGCUCGUAGGUGGUUGAUCGCGUCGGAAGUGUAAUCUUGGGGCUUAACCCUGAGCGUGCUUUCGAUACGGGUUGACUUGAGGAAGGUAGGGGAGAAUGGAAUUCCUGGUGGAGCGGUGGAAUGCGCAGAUAUCAGGAGGAACACCAGUGGCGAAGGCGGUUCUCUGGGCCUUUCCUGACGCUGAGGAGCGAAAGCGUGGGGAGCGAACAGGCUUAGAUACCCUGGUAGUCCACGCUGUAAACGGUGGGUACUAGGUGUGGGGUCCAUUCCACGGGUUCCGUGCCGUAGCUAACGCUUUAAGUACCCCGCCUGGGGAGUACGGCCGCAAGGCUAAAACUCAAAGGAAUUGACGGGGCCCCGCACAAGCGGCGGAGCAUGCGGAUUAAUUCGAUGCAACGCGUAGAACCUUACCUGGGUUUGACAUGGAUCGGGAGUGCUCAGAGAUGGGUGUGCCUCUUUUGGGGUCGGUUCACAGGUGGUGCAUGGCUGUCGUCAGCUCGUGUCGUGAGAUGUUGGGUUAAGUCCCGCAACGAGCGCAACCCUUGUUCACUGUUGCCAGCACGUUAUGGUGGGGACUCAGUGGAGACCGCCGGGGUCAACUCGGAGGAAGGUGGGGAUGACGUCAAGUCAUCAUGCCCCUUAUGUCCAGGGCUUCACGCAUGCUACAAUGGCUGGUACAGAGAGUGGCGAGCCUGUGAGGGUGAGCGAAUCUCGGAAAGCCGGUCUCAGUUCGGAUUGGGGUCUGCAACUCGACCUCAUGAAGUCGGAGUCGCUAGUAAUCGCAGAUCAGCAACGCUGCGGUGAAUACGUUCCCGGGGCUUGCACUCACCGCCCGUC
This 1384-nucleotide ribosomal RNA is filed under the name uncultured organism. RNAcentral describes it as "16S ribosomal RNA". It matches the Rfam family "Bacterial small subunit ribosomal RNA". The record is from RNAcentral.